Molecule: ribosomal RNA, 253 nt
Filed under: uncultured bacterium
Lineage: Bacteria
Description: partial 16S ribosomal RNA
Rfam family: Bacterial small subunit ribosomal RNA
Source: RNAcentral
UACGGAGGGUGCAAACGUUGCUCGGAAUCAUUGGGCGUAAAGCGCACGUAGGCGGCUCCUCAAGUCGGAUGUGAAAGCCCUGGGCUCAACUCAGGAAGUGCAUCCGAAACUGUGGAGCUUGAAUGCCGGAGGGGCCCAGAGAAUUCCCGGUGUAGAGGUGAAAUGCGUAGAUAUCUGGAGGAACACCGGUGGCGAAGGCGGCAUCCUGGACCGGUAUUGACGCUGAGGCGCGAAAGCCAGGGGAGCAAACGGG